AGCCUCAAGGAGUAUCAUAAAGAUUUUCAGAUUUAAAUUUCAGAUAAUACAUAUUGGAGAGCAUUAGGAUCACUUUUCACUUAGUAGGCUUUCUCUCUCCUUUAGUUAUAGAUUUAUGCGAUUAAGUUCCAUAAGAUCUCUCCUUCUGAGAUUUUCUUUCUUUCCCUCAAUUGAUCAUUCCAUUUAAGUGUUUAGAAUUUGAAGAUAAUGUUCAGUAAAAUUGUCAUUCUCAAAAAAAAAAUAUUUUCUACAAGUUUCAGCUUAUUUUCAUAAGACUCAAUGUUUGAGAUAAGACAACCUUUAUAGAACUCAUCUCAAGGUAUAAACUCAUUAUAUA
This 337-nucleotide long non-coding RNA is filed under the name Phoenix dactylifera (date palm). RNAcentral's name for it is "long non-coding RNA (PDAC_LNC017484)". The record is from RNAcentral. Lineage: Eukaryota; Viridiplantae; Streptophyta; Magnoliopsida; Arecales; Arecaceae.